UAGGGGCUUAGGAUAAACUAGACCAAGG
RNAcentral lists this transfer RNA (28 nucleotides) under Gadus morhua (Atlantic cod). RNAcentral describes it as "partial tRNA-Trp". Lineage: Eukaryota; Metazoa; Chordata; Actinopteri; Gadiformes; Gadidae. The record is from RNAcentral.